This is a non-coding RNA of Petromyzon marinus (sea lamprey), 1083 nucleotides long. NCBI's taxonomy places the organism in Eukaryota, Metazoa, Chordata, Hyperoartia, Petromyzontiformes, Petromyzontidae. The record is from RefSeq and is a predicted model, not a curated record.
GCCAACGAGCAGCAUCUGUAAACUGCAACGCUGAGGAUGAACGCAACGACUCGGGAAUGCUGCCGACGGGUUUCCAAGUCUAAUUGGUGACUUUGCUUGUUUUCCUAAGAGAGCUGUUGUUGAGAUUAUGUUUUCCUGACCGAAAUAUUGUUGACAUUUUUAUUUGUUACACAUCUGUUGAGCAAGACGUACACACAAAAAACACAUGGCGAUGUGUUUUUGUUUGUUUUUAAAACAACCAAUUUCAAAGUCGAUAUGUAUGUGCGCUCUCCUGUUGUUCGGCUAAAUGCCCAACGCUCUUCCAUCUGCUUUAUUUUUUUCCACAGGAGGCACGGGCGCAACGACAUCAAAGAGCCGGAAGCGUCAUCACCGCCGUCGUCGGAACGCGACCGCCACGGAGCCCCAGCUCUUCUAGGGCAACGAAAUCCGCUGUGAAUUCCGAUAAACAGUGGGAAUGGUGGCGCGCGACGCAAAUGCACGGAAGAUCCUGUGAAGGCUGCGUGCAGUUAUCGUGUUGGCAGGUCCAUAUUUCCGAUUGCUCUGGCCCAAAUGUGACAUGUCAUACAGCCAAGACCUCUCGGGAGUCCACCGCAGCUGCACAGCAUCAGGGCUUCUCUGCCACAAAGCAAUUGUUGCCAGGUACGAUGUACAAAUAAACCGAUACGUAACCAUGAGAAGAUGAAUAUCUCCGGAACACCGGAAGAGGUGCAAUCAUUAGGCAACUGACAACAACAAAAACGGCACCGUUAAUGCCCUGGGAAGACUCACAGAUUACCCAGGACAGCAGCCAUCUCCUCAACAAGAGAACGAUGCCUGAACAAAAAAAGACCAGGACAGGUGGGAAUCCAAAUCACAGCUCAGAUCAGCCCAGGGCUGAACCUAGAGCCGAGCUGGCAAAGUCCAUCAGCACCCGCUCACUCAGCUGGUGGCAAUUUAGCUGGCGUUGUGAAUAACCAGUCGGUGAAUGGUCGAUGACAACCUGCGGAAUAUCAGCCAAGUCCCCGUCUCUGGAUUUCAUCCGCUCAUUCUGUUGGUUUCGUUGACUUAAAGCAGUCAACUAUUAUAUAUUCUUGGCAAGAAAAU